RNAcentral lists this ribosomal RNA (465 nucleotides) under uncultured bacterium. RNAcentral describes it as "partial 16S ribosomal RNA". It matches the Rfam family "Bacterial small subunit ribosomal RNA", at positions 28 to 507 of the family's 1533-position model. The record is from RNAcentral.
GACGAACGCUGGCGGCGUGCUUAACACAUGCAAGUCGAACGGAAAGGCCCCUUUGGGGGUCCUCGAGUGGCGCACGGGUGAGUAACACGUGAGUAACCUGCCCUUGACUUCGGGAUAACUUCAGGAAACUGGGGCUAAUACCGGAUAGGAAUCCUUGCUGCAUGGUGGGGGUUGGAAAGCUUCGGCGGUUUUGGAUGGACUCGCGGCUUAUCAGCUUGUUGGUGGGGUAGUGGCUUACCAAGGCUUUGACGGGUAGCCGGCCUGAGAGGGCGACCGGCCACAUUGGGACUGAGACACGGCCCAGACUCCUACGGGAGGCAGCAGUGGGGAAUAUUGCACAAUGGGCGGAAGCCUGAUGCAGCAACGCCGCGUGCGGGAUGACGGCCUUCGGGUUGUAAACCGCUUUCAGCAGGGGCGAAGCUUGUGGUGACGGUACCUGCAGAAGAAGCACCGGCUAACUACGUG